GUGUAUGUAGAUUAUAGAAUAAAAUCACAAUGCUGUUAACUUUGAGAAGAUUCGUCCGUACGCG
This 64-nucleotide transfer RNA is filed under the name Orientocreadium sp. HS. RNAcentral's name for it is "tRNA-Asn". Lineage: Eukaryota; Metazoa; Platyhelminthes; Trematoda; Plagiorchiida; Orientocreadiidae. The record is from RNAcentral.